Molecule: long non-coding RNA, 157 nt
Organism: Schistocerca serialis cubense
Lineage: Eukaryota; Metazoa; Arthropoda; Insecta; Orthoptera; Acrididae
Exons: 3
Source: RefSeq, a predicted model, not a curated record
CGGCUCUCCGGCCACAACGACGGCCACAGCAGACGGAAGAGAUUCUGGCCCUCCGAAGCUAGCUGCUCCGAGCGUUAAGUUUCAGAUCGCCUCCACGUCUGGUGCGGCAGCAUCGAGUGAUCGUAGCGCAAGAACAGCGACAGCAGGCGUAAGAGAG